This 253-nucleotide ribosomal RNA is filed under the name uncultured bacterium. RNAcentral's name for it is "partial 16S ribosomal RNA". It matches the Rfam family "Bacterial small subunit ribosomal RNA", at positions 524 to 776 of the family's 1533-position model. The record is from RNAcentral.
UACGGAGGAUCCAAGCGUUAUCCGGAAUCAUUGGGUUUAAAGGGUCCGUAGGCGGCUUUAUAAGUCAGUGGUGAAAUCCAAUCGCUCAACGAUUGAACUGCCAUUGAUACUGUAGGGCUUGAAUGACUAUGAAGUAACUAGAAUAUGUAGUGUAGCGGUGAAAUGCUUAGAUAUUACAUGGAAUACCAAUUGCGAAGGCAGGUUACUAAUAGUUUAUUGACGCUGAUGGACGAAAGCGUGGGGAGCGAACAGG